UUAGCCCCUAAACAUAACACCCCUAUAGCUUUUACCCUCCUAGGAUUGGUCAAGGAGCGUUGACCUCCCUGAACUCUCGAAACAAGGGUGCAAAUAACACCCCGUGUUAAACGCCUGUUUAACGCCGUUUAACUUUAAUUUUUUUUUCUUAAUUAGUCAUCUUCUCCGCCUGAAUUUCUUCAAUUUUCCGGCGAAACCAUCCCACUCCAGCAAAUCGGAUCUCGACAUGUCGAUGUACCUAUCCUUGGCGAUCUUGGGCAAUCUCCUGUGAUUCCGAUCUACAAAAUCUCCGAGUACCAGUUGUCUUCGCCAUCCCGAGUAUAUUUUCCCAAAUUGGCAAGCUAAUGGUGUACUGUUCUGCCAAUCCAGCAAUCAGCCUCCCUCUUACCUAGAAGCUAAGUCCAAAAUCCCUUGGCUAUUCUAUUUCUUCAAAUACAAAAGAUGCUUCAAUAUUUUUGAUAUCGGAUAAUGUUCGAUGUUGUUGCCGUAGGCCCAAACAGUGAAAAAAUGAAAUACAGCCUGAUCUAUCGGGGGCGCUUAUAGCCCCGACAAUUUACAAUGGAAGGCCAGAGAAGUUAACCAAUUUAUGAGACAAAUUGGUAUUUCUCUGAUUUUUGUUUCAAUUGCACUCGCCUGCUCACAUUUGCGAAUUGCUUCAAUUCCCCUUAUUCUGUAAAAUAAUAAUAAUAAUAAUAAUAAUAAUAAUUAUAUUGAGAGAAGAUUUACUAGUAUGAACGACCAUGGAUGCUGGAAACUGGAAGAAAAAAAGGACAUGGUUGGGGCUCGAUUAAGGCUUGAUUUUACAAGUAGAGUGUACCUGGAAUUGAGAAAUUGAGCGGGGUGAAGGAGGAGAUAGGAGCAGACGAAGGGAGCGACGCCAACGGCCGGGCGCGGCCUCGCCGGACUCAGCCGCGACGGCUACCAGAUGAGAGAAAGAAGAUGACGCUUAGAAAAAAAAAUUAAACAGACGCCGUUUAACGGAGGGUGUUAAUUGCACCCUUGUUUCGAGAGUUCAGGGAGGUCAACGCGCCUUGACC
This 1037-nucleotide long non-coding RNA is filed under the name Salvia miltiorrhiza (redroot sage). Its description in RNAcentral is "long non-coding RNA (SMIL_LNC007087)". Lineage: Eukaryota; Viridiplantae; Streptophyta; Magnoliopsida; Lamiales; Lamiaceae. The record is from RNAcentral.